CCCUUAGAUGGUCUGGGCGGCACGCGCGCUACAAUGAUGCAUUCAAAAAGUCUUCUGACCUUAGAAGGUUGGGUAUUCUCCAAAGUGCAUCGUGAUGGGAAUAGUUUAUUGCAAUUUUUAAUCUUGAACGAGGAAUUCCUAGUAAGUACAGGCCAUCAACUUGUGUUGAUUACGUCCCUGCCCUUUGUACACACCGCCCGUCGCUCCUACUGAUUGAGUGUCUCGGUGAAUUCUUUGAUCUUCUGUCGAUUCAGUUCACUGAUCCGACGGUGGAAAGUUGAAUGAACUUCGUCACUUAGAGGAAGGAGAAGUCGUAACA
Molecule: ribosomal RNA, 319 nt
Filed under: uncultured eukaryote
Lineage: Eukaryota
Description: partial 18S ribosomal RNA
Rfam family: Eukaryotic small subunit ribosomal RNA
Source: RNAcentral